Molecule: long non-coding RNA, 869 nt
Organism: Helianthus annuus (common sunflower)
Lineage: Eukaryota; Viridiplantae; Streptophyta; Magnoliopsida; Asterales; Asteraceae
Exons: 3
Source: RefSeq, a predicted model, not a curated record
UAGUCAUAAAUAUUCCCGAACCCGCUAAGCUAACUAGGAAUGCUUGACCCGGUUAAUAAAAGGGAAUAUGGAUUGUGAAUAAGUAGGUUAUAAUCAACUUAAUAACUAACGAAACAUGAAGGACCAAAGUUGGAUAAUUGGAAAUAAGGUUUAUUUACUAAAAACAAAAAUAAAAACACACCACACCUAGUGUGUGCGUGUGUGAGGUCGACCAGGAGAAAGCUCAGGGAGCUCAAACCCUAACUUCCACAACUUGAUCAAAUUGAAGCCCAAAUCAAGAGCCAAAUCACUGCAUGAACACAAAUUCGUGAUCACCUAAUCAUGGGGAUUACAAGUUUGACGCGUCACAAGCUAGGUGGAAGCCUGGAGUGAAAGCGGGUCAAACAAGUCAAGCAUGGAAGAAAAGCGUAGCUCGGAUGCAAGGUAAGUGAAACUUACAUAAUUGUGUAGAUUACUUGUUCAUUCUAUACGUUAUAGAUGCAAUAAUGCUAAUAUUGAAAAUAUGGAUUUCCGACGUGAUUGAUACGAGUCGGAACAUAUAAAGAUGAUAAAAACCAUGUUUAUGGCAAAAAGGGGAUUCGGUAAUGAAAUCCGGGACGGGAUGGAUGUAUGAAUUAGAAGUCAAAAACCAUGUUUUUGAUUUAAUAGGCAACGUUGGGCAUAUAGGCCGAAGGGGUCAAAUGGUGGUAAUAACACUAUUUGACAAUAUCGACUAAUGCGAUUGUCAAGUCUUGUGUUAACAGGAGCGAUUAGCGAUUCAGUUAAUUUCGCCCACACUAAGUGUGAUGAUAAAAGCAAGGUAUAAAUUGGGUCUAUAUGUUGACCCUAGCCAGGUACUUUGUGGAAGCCGGAAGACGAUCAAGCUCAAC